UCCGCUUUGAUGUGUUGUGCAUAAUAUCUUCAGUUUUGUUUUGGUUUAUUUCUGUUUCGUUGAGAUAUAUUAUUUUGCAUUUUAUAUGUUCUUAUUGCAUACAAAGGAUUGAAUGAUGUACAUAUAUUGUCAAAGAUCUUACCCUUAAUCAUGACAAGGAGGAAUAUUGCUAAUAAACUUUUUAUUUUGUAACACUUGAAGCUGUGAAAAAUAAAGUCUAUAAAAACAUUAACAAUGCUGCGAGGCUUCAAUAGUUGUAUUCAAUAAAAAUUUUGUGUACUUGGUGUA
This is a long non-coding RNA of Aedes aegypti (yellow fever mosquito), 288 nucleotides long. RefSeq lists it as uncharacterized. NCBI's taxonomy places the organism in Eukaryota, Metazoa, Arthropoda, Insecta, Diptera, Culicidae. The record is from RefSeq and is a predicted model, not a curated record. The transcript is spliced from 2 exons.